AGGGUUGUGGCUUAGUGGUAGAGUGCUUGCCUCAAAUGUAUGAAGCACUGGGUUUGAUCCUCAGCACCACAU
RNAcentral lists this transfer RNA (72 nucleotides) under Ictidomys tridecemlineatus (thirteen-lined ground squirrel). RNAcentral's name for it is "Spermophilus tridecemlineatus (thirteen-lined ground squirrel) tRNA". It matches the Rfam family "tRNA". From Rfam's summary of the family: Transfer RNA (tRNA) molecules are approximately 80 nucleotides in length. Their secondary structure includes four short double-helical elements and three loops (D, anti-codon, and T loops). Lineage: Eukaryota; Metazoa; Chordata; Mammalia; Rodentia; Sciuridae. The record is from Rfam by way of RNAcentral.